CCUGCCUGUAAGUUGGGGAUAACUCCGGGAAACCGGGGCUAAUACCGAAUGAUAAAGUGUGGCGCAUGCCACGCUUUUGAAAGAUGGUUUCGGCUAUCGCUUACAGAUGGGCCCGCGGUGCAUUAGCUAGUUGGUAGGGUAAUGGCCUACCAAGGCAACGAUGCAUAGCCGACCUGAGAGGGUGAUCGGCCACACUGGGACUGAGACACGGCCCAGACUCCUACGGGAGGCAGCAGUAGGGAAUCUUCCGCAAUGGACGAAAGUCUGACGGAGCAACGCCGCGUGUAUGAAGAAGGUUUUCGGAUCGUAAAGUACUGUUGUUAGAGAAGAACAAGGAUAAGAGUAACUGCUUGUCCCUUGACGGUAUCUAACCAGAAAGCCACGGCUAACUACGUGCCAGCAGCCGCGGUA
RNAcentral lists this ribosomal RNA (411 nucleotides) under Listeria monocytogenes. Its description in RNAcentral is "bacterial SSU rRNA". It matches the Rfam family "Bacterial small subunit ribosomal RNA", at positions 125 to 522 of the family's 1533-position model. The record is from RNAcentral. Lineage: Bacteria; Bacillati; Bacillota; Bacilli; Caryophanales; Listeriaceae.